UUCAGACGAUGCGUCAUGCAUAUCAAUAAGCGGAGGAAAAGAAACUAACAAGGAUUCCCCUAGUAACGGCGAGUGAAGCGGGAAGAGCUCAAAUUUGAAAUCUUAAAGGGUUUCCCUUUACGAAUUGUAGUUUAAAGAAGUGUUUUCUGUUGAGGUUUUGGUAAAAGUUCUUUGGAAUAGGACAUCAUAGAGGGUGAGAAUCCCGUAUUUGACCUUUACUUUCAACUUUGUGAUACACUUUCAAGGAGUCGGAUUGUUUGGGAAUGCAGUCCAAAAUGGGUGGUAAAUUUCAUCUAAAGCUAAAUAUUGGCGAGAGACCGAUAGCGAACAAGUACCGUGAGGGAAAGAUGAAAAGAACUUUGAAAAGAGAGUUAAACAGUACGUGAAAUUGUCAAAAGGGAAGCGUUUGACACCAGUGUUGUUUUUCUGAAAAUCAAUUAAAGAACUGUUUAUGCUAAGCUGUUUAGACUUUAUCAGCUAAUCUGUUUAGUUUUGAGCUUUUCUUUAAUGCACUUUUCAGUUAACAAGUCAACAUCAAUUUCUUUUGCUGUAAAAAAGCUUGAGGAAGGUGGCUUGAGAUUCGUCUUAAGUGUUUAUAGCCUCUUGCCUAUGCAGUCGGAGAGAUUGAGGUCUGCAGCGUAGAUCCCUUCGGGGCUAAAUGCAUUUGUGCUAAGUUAUAGCAUUUUAUAGACAACUUGUUGACUAUGAUUUGUCUUGUAGCUUACUCGCUUAUGUUAUUUUACCUACGCUUAGGAUGUUGAGCGCAUGUCUCUCUCU
This 777-nucleotide ribosomal RNA is filed under the name uncultured Neocallimastigales. Its description in RNAcentral is "partial large subunit ribosomal RNA". It matches the Rfam family "Eukaryotic large subunit ribosomal RNA", at positions 18 to 616 of the family's 3401-position model. Lineage: Eukaryota; Fungi; Neocallimastigomycota; Neocallimastigomycetes; Neocallimastigales. The record is from RNAcentral.